CUGGAGACAGGUGCUGCAUGGCUGUCGUCAGCUCGUGUCGUGAGAUGUUGGGUUAAGUCCCGCAACGAGCGCAACCCUUGCCUUUAGUUGCCAGCAGUCCGGCUGGGCACUCUAAAGGGACUGCCGGUGUUAAACCGGAGGAAGGUGGGGAUGACGUCAAGUCCUCAUGGCCUUUAUGACCAGGGCUACACACGUACUACAAUGGCCGAUACAAAGGGCGGCGACACUGCGAGGUGAAGCCAAUCCCGCAAAAUCGGUCUCAGUCCGGAUUGGAGUCUGCAACUCGACUCCAUGAAGUUGGAAUCGCUAGUAAUCGCGCAUCAGCCAUGGCGCGGUGAAUACGUUCCCGGGCCUU
RNAcentral lists this ribosomal RNA (355 nucleotides) under uncultured Desulfobulbus sp. Its description in RNAcentral is "bacterial SSU rRNA". It matches the Rfam family "Bacterial small subunit ribosomal RNA", at positions 1028 to 1382 of the family's 1533-position model. The record is from RNAcentral. Lineage: Bacteria; Pseudomonadati; Thermodesulfobacteriota; Desulfobulbia; Desulfobulbales; Desulfobulbaceae.